GUGACAAGCGGUUGUGAUUUAGCAUGUAAUAUUUAUUUUGUAAUUGUAUUAUUCGCACUACAACAAAAACGGUUUAUAGCGACACUUUUAAAUAUAGGUAUAUGUCAAAAAAAUACUGCUAGCUAAAAUUACCGACAUUUUUAAAAAGUGUUGCUAUAUGUGGGGUCGCUAGAUAUAUAGUGACAGUUAAAGAGUGUCGCUAUAACCUAAAAGAGUGCUACUAAUUUACCAACACUUAUUUAAAUAUUUAGCAACCGCCGAAACUCUAUCUCGUUGGCUGCGGUGGCGGAGGAGAAUGACAGGAAAGGCUCUUCGUCUAGAAUUUCAGUGGAUUGAGUGAAGAGAGAAGAAAAGAUGGUAAUUAAUUUUUCUUUUUUUUUUCUUUUCUGUUUGUAAUCGGGCCAAAUAGACUGGGUGUGGUGGGUUGAGUAGAGUAAUCUUUUAUUUUUGGUUGGAUUGAGCUUUAUAUUUAGACAUUAGUAGAUAUUUUUUUUAAGUUUUAGUAUAAAUGGGACACUUACUCAAAAGUGUCCCAAACAUGUGUCCCUAUAAUCUAAUUCUGUUGUAGUGUCAUCUAAUAAUUAUAGAUUGUGAUCUACUGCACAUAAAAAUAAGUCGUGAAUUAUUAUUUGAUAUUUAAUUAGUCGGCUAUAAUAAUAUUAGUAAGUCCAAUUACAAAUUAUGACGGACGAUUCAUUAUUUACAUUAUAAACACAAUUGGGACCGCCACGCUUGCUUUAUUAAUAAUAAUUUAUAUUAAUACUUUAUUCAAAAUUUAUAUUUAAGAUAAAUCUAUACAACUAUAUUAAUCCGCAAUGUUUAAGAUGACAUGGCGCUUCCACCUUAGUUUAGGGCUUUUCUAUUUUUUUUUUCUUCUUUCAGUUAUACUCUUUUUGCCCCCUCAUCUACCCCAUAUAAUUUAACUCCCUACAAUUAUUAAAUUAUUAAUUAAUUUUUUAGCUUCUUUCAAUUAUACACUUUGAAUUCCUAUCACUAACAUAUCUGCCGUGACGCUUCGUCUUCCUACUCAAUAAAUGAAUAGAUUUGAAAUGGAAAAAGAAGUGAGAAAACGGGAGUAGUAGUGAUAGGGGAAGCUCAUGAGGGGGAUUAAAUGGGGUUGUGGGUUUUGAU
This 1131-nucleotide long non-coding RNA is filed under the name Ananas comosus (pineapple). Its description in RNAcentral is "long non-coding RNA (ACOM_LNC018637)". Lineage: Eukaryota; Viridiplantae; Streptophyta; Magnoliopsida; Poales; Bromeliaceae. The record is from RNAcentral.